GGAGAAUUUCUCUCUCAUUCAAUGCCUCUCUUAUGCUUCAGAUCUCUCUGACUUUCUCUGUCUCUGACCUCUAGAUCCAGAUGUGAAGGCCUGCUGUGAUGAGGUCAGGCUCGUCUGGGUAAUCUCCCUAUUUUAAGGUCAAUUGAUUUGGGAACUUAAUUACAUCUGAAAUGAGUGUUUGAAUAACUGGGCUUCACAGUGUUAGUGUCUGAGUAACCGGGAGAAGGUAUGUGUACAGCAGGGACUAAGAACCUUGGAAUCUUUUAGAAGUCUACCCACCACAGUGGGAAAUUCCUCAAACACAGGAAGGUGUACCAGUGGUUCAAAUGUUGGGAAAUCAAAAACUUUACAAAUGUCUACCACAGGAAGAAAGAGGACAAAUGAAGACAUAGGAAAACUAAAAGGUAAGCAUCUGAGACUGAAGUUAUAAAUUCUACUAAGGAACUAAAUAGUGAUGGACAAAAGGAAUACAGAACAGUGUUGAAAGCCUGGCUGAGACGUGAUGCAGAAAAUGGCAAUAGCGGCCUUUGAUGUUACUAAUGAAUUUCUUAAGCAAUUAACUACAGCAAUGAGUAUAAAAAGAUGAAGCUGGAGAAAUUGAAUUGAGGUGUUUGCAUAGCAUGAAGAUUGGCAAGGCAAGGAGAGCACUGGUCAUGGAAGCAAAGGAUCAUGGCUGCACUUGCCUGUACUAUGAAGGCCGCGGGCAGAAUGCAGAAAGACUCUAAUACAGAAAGACUAUGCAGUGUGCACGAGGUGAGGCACCACUAGUGCAAGCCCCCGUCUUCCCUGCAGAUGUUUCACCACUCCUCCGUGAAGAAGAGGAAGAAGUCAAAAUCACAUGCGGAAAUUUCCCAGGUGCCACAGAUGAUGUGGCCAGAAGGAUGACCUCCUCUCGGGUCUCUGAAAAUCAAGGUAGUCAAGCCUUCUGCAGAGAAGCUCAGGACUGCCUGCUAUUAUCUCUCCUCCAAAAGAUAAUAAUUCCACAAACAGUUGUUGCACACCUACAAAAUACUGACUCUGCACCAAACACUGGGGAAUAUAAAGAUGAUUAAGAUACAGUUCUUGUCCUCAGGAGGCUGCUGGCUAGUGGGGGGACACAGGUGAUGAACACAACAACAGCGGCACUAGACACAGUGGCCAGCAGAGAAGGGAGUGGGGAACUUGAGGGUGGGCUGGGUCCUCCUUGAAGGGCAAGACGGGCUAUGAUAAUAGUAUUUAUUGAGCAUUUACUGUGUUCCAGGCACCGUUCUAAGUAUACAUGUAUUAACCAAUUAAAAACAUGCAUGAGGAGGCCAGCCCAGUGGCGUAGUGGGUAAGUUUGCGUGCUCCUCUUCGGUGGUCUGGGGUUCAUGGUUUCGGAUCCCAGGUGCAGACCUACAAACCAAUCACCAAGCCAUACUUGGGUUGCGCCCCACAUACAAAAAAUAGGGGAAGCUUGGCACAGAUGUAAGCUUAGUGACAAUUUUCCUCAAGCAAAAAGAGGAAGAUUGGCAACAGAUGUUAUCUCAGGGCCCAUCUUCCUCACCAAAAAAAAAAGAAAAGGAAGAUAGAAAGAAAGAAAAAAAGAAAAAAAAAAUUCCCCCCAACCGCCCAAAAUGCAUGAGACAAGUACUAGUAUUAUCCCCAGAUGAGUAAACUGAGAAUGUAAGUAAUUUGCUUAAGGUCACACAGCUAAGUCUGGAUUCAACACCUCAGUGCAUAGUCUUAAUGACUGCACAGUGCUGCAGGAAAGCAUUUCCAGGAAGCUGCUCCAGGGCUAAGAAUAUAAAAAAUAGGCAUGGAUUAGUAAUCUUUAACAUGUUUUGUAGGUGCUCUGGUAGAGUGUGGACUAGAGUCCCAGAUGUGAGACUAGAAUCUAGGAUUUCCCAAGAGGAAGUAUCCAGCGAUAGAGUCCCCAUAAGCAAAAUAUCCAGAAAGUUCCUAUUUCAGGUAACUGUGCUUCUAGAACCCUGUUUAGAAAUCCCUGUUCCCCUAAAGAUGGUGACUAGGGUUCAGGCAAGCUACCAGAGAUUUACACAUUAAAAUGCAAAUGAGGCUGGAUUCUAAGAGUUUAAAGAGCCAUGAUUUUAGUCCACCAGGCUUCCCAGAGCCAGAUCAUUGUCUUUAUCUUGCAAAUAGAGAGAUUUGAGAGUUUGAGAGCAGAAGAGCCCCAAACAGGACUUGGCAUGCUAGGGCUGGCCUGAGGCAGAGCUGGGAAGAAGCCAUUUUGCAGAAGGAAAAAUACCUAGAAAGGAUGAGCGUAUAUCUAAUCCAGAAUGAGCUUUCUGACAAUGGAAAGAUUUGGUAGGCUCAGGCAAGAGGAGUCUUGAUAAGGGCAAGCAGAAAUGAUUGAGAAAAAAUGGGAUUCCAGCAUGUAGGUGGCGAGGAAUGUGUCUUGGCAGCCUUCGAUUUCAACAGGGAGACCUGGGCUGGGAUGGGAAAGGGCCUUCUCCUCCAGGACCAAGGUGGAGCUAAAGGAACGACCUCAGCUUUGGCCAGGGGUGUAGAAGUCAGCUGUGCUGACCAGUGGGACAGUAGCCUUGUAGGUCGGGACUCCUGUGGGGCAUGUGGCCUGGCAGAAGGGAGGAAGACAGAGAGGGCUUGAAUGGACCUGUUUGAAUGCUUUAAGCUGAAGCCAGACUACUGAGUAAUGUGCCACAGCCCUCAACUCUCC
This 2653-nucleotide long non-coding RNA is filed under the name Equus caballus (horse). Its description in RNAcentral is "lncRNA (ENSECAG00000040940.2)". The record is from RNAcentral. Lineage: Eukaryota; Metazoa; Chordata; Mammalia; Perissodactyla; Equidae.